CACGUAGGGGGCGAGCGUUGUCCGGAUUUAUUGGGCGUAAAGAGCUCGUAGGCGGCUCGGUAAGUCGGGUGUGAAAACUCUAGGCUCAACCUAGAGACGCCACCCGAUACUGCUGUGGCUAGAGUCCGGUAGGGGAGCAUGGAAUUCCUGGUGUAGCGGUGGAAUGCGUAGAGAUCCGGAAGAACACCGGUGGCGAAGGCGGCCUGCUGGGCAGUAGCUGACGCUGAGGCGCGACAGCGUGGGGAGCAAACAGG
This 254-nucleotide ribosomal RNA is filed under the name uncultured bacterium. Its description in RNAcentral is "partial 16S ribosomal RNA". It matches the Rfam family "Bacterial small subunit ribosomal RNA", at positions 524 to 776 of the family's 1533-position model. The record is from RNAcentral.